This 500-nucleotide ribosomal RNA is filed under the name uncultured microorganism. RNAcentral's name for it is "bacterial SSU rRNA". It matches the Rfam family "Archaeal small subunit ribosomal RNA", at positions 234 to 734 of the family's 1478-position model. The record is from RNAcentral.
AGUGGGUGUAAUGUACCUACUAGCCGACGACGGAUACGGGUUGUGGGAGCAAGAGCCCGGAGAUGGAUUCUGAGACAUGAAUCCAGGCCCUACGGGGCGCAGCAGGCGCGAAAACUUUACAAUGCGGGAAACCGCGAUAAGGGGACACCGAGUGCCAGCAUCUUAUGUUGGCUGUCCGCAUGUAUAAAUCACAUGUGUUAGCAAGGGCCGGGCAAGACCGGUGCCAGCCGCCGCGGUAACACCGGCGGCCCGAGUGGUGGCCGCUAUUAUUGGGUCUAAAGGGUCCGUAGCCGGUUUGGUCAGUCUUCCGGGAAAUCUGACGGCUUAACCGUUAGGCUUUCGGGGGAUACUACCAGGCUUGGGACCGGGAGAGGUAAGAGGUACUACGGGGGUAGGAGUGAAAUCUUGUAAUCCUCGUGGGACCACCAGUGGCGAAGGCGUCUUACCAGAACGGGUCCGACGGUGAGGGACGAAGGCUGGGGGCACGAACCGGAUUAGAU